UACGUAGGGUGCGAGCGUUAAUCGGAAUUACUGGGCGUAAAGCGUGCGCAGGCGGUUCGUUAAGUCAGCUGUGAAAGCCCCGGGCUCAACCUGGGAAUGGCGGUUGAAACUGGCGAACUUGAAUCUGGCAGAGGGGGGUAGAAUUCCACGUGUAGCAGUGAAAUGCGUAGAGAUGUGGAGGAACACCGAUGGCGAAGGCAGCCCCCUGGGUCAAGAUUGACGCUCAUGCACGAAAGCGUGGGGAGCAAACAGG
This 253-nucleotide ribosomal RNA is filed under the name uncultured bacterium. Its description in RNAcentral is "partial 16S ribosomal RNA". It matches the Rfam family "Bacterial small subunit ribosomal RNA", at positions 524 to 776 of the family's 1533-position model. The record is from RNAcentral.